AAGCCUUAAAUAUGUAGUAUAUUCAUAUACAACCAAUAUGCCCUUAGGCACCUCAAAUGACAAUUAUAAACAUGUUUAACCAUGUAAUCUAUGUAACUAAGUAAUCAACAAGCUAUUAUUCGCCAUGAGAAAAUAUCCAACAAGGCAUAGAUCAUAGUUGGGCUCCUUGGAUUCCUCCUCUCAUUGAAUUUGUCACGGCUCUUCUUCCCCAUCAUGAAUGCCCAAAUUUGUCAACCCAUCUUAAUUUCAUCUUGAAGAACGUGAAAGCAACCCCAAAUACUCACAUUAAAAUUUAUUGAAAAAAAGAACAAAACGAAGGAAAAGCAAAAGAAUCAUGCAAGAAGAGCAAAUAAAGAAACCGCGUUAUAAGAGUAUAC
This 377-nucleotide long non-coding RNA is filed under the name Gossypium barbadense (sea-island cotton). Its description in RNAcentral is "long non-coding RNA (GBAR_LNC004445)". Lineage: Eukaryota; Viridiplantae; Streptophyta; Magnoliopsida; Malvales; Malvaceae. The record is from RNAcentral.